UCAAUUUCAAAUAAAGUUUGUUACUUUUUCAGAAAAAAAUCAGAAAUAAUCCGGAUAAAUUCCAAAUUUCCGUAGAACAAGCGAAGAAAUCUCAUCAGAAACUAUGGAUUAGCACUUGGAAAAAGUUUUGGAACGUCCGGGACCCGUCCAGAAUGCAUCAAGUUUGAAUGUAAACCGUCUCCGGAUUUUCUCGACUUGAUCAUAUCCAUUUAGAGCCCACUUACGGAGACCCUUUUGAUUACGAGCUGCUUAAAUACCAAUAGAAUGAUGUAUUUCAAGCACAUCGACAUAGAUAUUAUCGCUUUAUCCCAUUUAAAUCGAUAAUUUCCGUUCAGGCACAAAGCUAUCGAUGUAUCUAAAGCACAGGUAGCGGCAAACUACAUCAAUGCCAGGAUAGCGGGAUGACAAGAAACACUACCUCGCUGUUGUGUAAUGAAUCUCCGUAGAAGAUGAAAAAGUAUUGUGUUAUUACGUGUAACUCCACCAGGUAUGAUAGCCUGUGUUGGGUAUACUCGUAAUUUGUAUCCUCCCCCAAGUCACAUUGCAAAUACAAAGUUCUACAGUGGCCAAAAGAGAAAACCGUUCGGUGUUGCCCUUGAUGCCAAUGAUGCACCACUUGGAUCUAUAAGAAUAUAUAUAAUCUUAUAUUAAAAAUAUAUAUAUCUUCAUAGAUUUUAUGAAGAAGUACCUAUUGGAAACAGUCCCCGAAAGUGCCAAUUAAUUCAAUAUACAAGGUGUUACAUGUAGAUCAGUACAGGAUGGCAGUAAAAAAUAUUAUUCCAAGAAAGUUUUAGGAAAAAUUAGUUGAUGCACAAGACUUUUUAUGGAUAGAUUUUAAUGGAAAAAAUUAGGGACCUGUCCCAAUUAUUGGCACUUUAGAACCAGCUUUUAGAGAAAUGGAUCAGCUGAAGGUUGGAUUAAAUGCACGAGGAUGUUGUAUACUGCACUCAUGGCUGUGUUUAUAGGAAAACUGUACAUAUCAAAAUAGAAAUCCAGAGAUUUAGGAAAGACAGACAUGUUUACGGAUGGACGUAUGCAGCAAGAUUAUCUGAAUAUAUCCGAUUACUGGACAAGAGUUGGUACAAACACUGGCAAAACAUUGAAAGUGGAAUGAAGGCAGAGGAAGGACUUUGAGGAAUUCAAGACAGCUUUUUGGAGCAGCAUUAAGUAGAAAAAAAACCUCUAAGUAGUUAAAAGUUUGAGACAAAUAUUGUGAAUCACCCUGUAUAUUGAUAGAAAUAUUUUUAAAGUAUGCAUUACCAUUAUCUAUACAUUUUAAGAAGUGUAAUCUGGAAUUAUUAAGAACCUUAAAUAGAGCAUUUGGCAUGCAACCAGUAAUACACAAUUGGACCUUCCAGUAUACGAGACCAGUAUGGUUAACUGAGGUCUUGCAGAUAUAACUUAUGUUAGUAAUUAUUAUGUUAGUUUGUACAGAAACACCACGAACUGUAUAUUUGCUAGUAGACCCUUUUAGUAAUGUAUCUAAUACCGUAUGAUCGAAAAAAACGGCGUCCAGUUGGCUGGGAAAUGGCGAUCGAUCACAUUUCCCAUAUAAAUUUACAUAUUAUGAGAGCGAUCUUCAUUUCAUAGCCAUCGCUG
RNAcentral lists this long non-coding RNA (1599 nucleotides) under Sitophilus oryzae (rice weevil). RNAcentral describes it as "uncharacterized LOC115888863". The record is from RNAcentral. Lineage: Eukaryota; Metazoa; Arthropoda; Insecta; Coleoptera; Curculionidae.